RNAcentral lists this transfer RNA (85 nucleotides) under Felis catus (domestic cat). It matches the Rfam family "tRNA". Rfam says of the family: Transfer RNA (tRNA) molecules are approximately 80 nucleotides in length. Their secondary structure includes four short double-helical elements and three loops (D, anti-codon, and T loops). Lineage: Eukaryota; Metazoa; Chordata; Mammalia; Carnivora; Felidae. The record is from Rfam by way of RNAcentral. RNAcentral also lists the same sequence under 1 other name.
GUCUGAGUGGCUCAAUCGGUUAAGCAUUUGACUUCAGCUCAGGUCAUGAUUUCAUGGUUCGCGGGUUCGAGCCCCGCAUCUGGCU